RNAcentral lists this ribosomal RNA (427 nucleotides) under uncultured bacterium. RNAcentral describes it as "partial 16S ribosomal RNA". It matches the Rfam family "Bacterial small subunit ribosomal RNA", at positions 355 to 774 of the family's 1533-position model. The record is from RNAcentral.
UGGGGAAUAUUGCACAAUGGGCGCAAGCCUGAUGCAGCCAUGCCGCGUGUAUGAAGAAGGCCUUCGGGUUGUAAAGUACUUUCAGCGGGGAGGAAGGCGAUAAGGUUAAUAACCUUGUCGAUUGACGUUACCCGCAGAAGAAGCACCGGCUAACUCCGUGCCAGCAGCCGCGGUAAUACGGAGGGUGCAAGCGUUAAUCGGAAUUACUGGGCGUAAAGCGCACGCAGGCGGUCUGUCAAGUCGGAUGUGAAAUCCCCGGGCUCAACCUGGGAACUGCAUUCGAAACUGGCAGGCUAGAGUCUUGUAGAGGGGGGUAGAAUUCCAGGUGUAGCGGUGAAAUGCGUAGAGAUCUGGAGGAAUACCGGUGGCGAAGGCGGCCCCCUGGACAAAGACUGACGCUCAGGCGCGAAAGCGUGGGGAGCAAACA